GAGGGUGUAGCUCAAGUGGUAAAGUAUAUGCUUAGCAUGCAGGAGGUCCUGGGUUCAAUCCCCAGUACCUCCU
RNAcentral lists this transfer RNA (73 nucleotides) under Camelus bactrianus (Bactrian camel). It matches the Rfam family "tRNA". Rfam says of the family: Transfer RNA (tRNA) molecules are approximately 80 nucleotides in length. Their secondary structure includes four short double-helical elements and three loops (D, anti-codon, and T loops). RNAcentral also lists the same sequence under 2 other names. The record is from Rfam by way of RNAcentral. Lineage: Eukaryota; Metazoa; Chordata; Mammalia; Artiodactyla; Camelidae.